UGAAUACGAGACGCUACGGCGUCGAAGCAGUCUAUGUCAUACUUCCAAGAAAAGCUUGCACUGUCAUAAACAAAUAAUGCCUGUACCAUAACCGACACAGGUGGGUAGGUAGAGUAUACUAAGGGGCGCGAGAUAACUCUCUCUAAGGAACUCGGCAAAAUGACUCCGUAACUUCGGGAGAAGGAGUGCCUUAUUUAUAAGGUUGCAAUAACAAGAUCCAAGCAACUGUUUAUCAAAAACACAGGUCUCCGCUAAGUCGUAAGACGAUGUAUGGGGGCUGACGCCUGCCCAGUGCCAGAAGGUUAAAGAAGUUGGUUAGCAUUAGCGAAGCUGAUAACUGAAGCCCUGGUGAACGGCGGCCGUAACAAUAACGGUCCUAAGGUAGCGAAAUUCCUUGUCGGGUAAGUUCCGACCCGCACGAAAGGCGUAAUGAUUUGGAUACUGUCUCAGAGAGGGGCUCGGUGAAAUAGACUUGUCUGUGAAGAUGCGGACUACCUGCACCAGGACAGAAAGACCCUAUGAAGCUUUACUGUAACUUGGAAUUGAAAUUGGACUUUAUUUGCGCAGUAUAGGUGGGAGGCAUUGAUAAUAUUCUUGCGGGAAUGUUGGAGCCAUCAGUGAGAUACCACUCUUGUAAUGUUAGAUUUCUAACUUUGGAUCAUUAUCUGGUCAAAGGACAGUUUCAGGCGGGCAGUUUGAUUGGGGCGGUCGCCUCCUAAAUGGUAACGGAGGCGCACAAAGGUUUCCUCUGAACGGGUAGAAAUCGUAUCUAGAGUGUAAAGGCAUAAGGAAGCUUGACUGUGAGACCUACAAGUCGAGCAGGGACGAAAGUCGGUCUUAGUGAUCUGACGGUGCUGAGUGGAAAGGCCGUCACUCAACGGAUAAAAGUUACUCUAGGAUAACAGGCUGAUCUCCCCCAAGAGUUCACAUCGACGGGGAGGUUUGGCACCUCGAUGUCGGCUCAUCGCAUCCUGGGGCGGUAGUACGUCCCAAGGGUUGGGCUGUUCGCCCAUGAAAGCGGUACGCGAGCUGGGUUCAGAACGUCGUGAGACAGUUCGGUCCAUAUCCGGUGUAGGCGUUAGAAUAUUGAGAGGAGCCUUCUUUAGUACGAGAGGACCGAGAAGGACAUACCUCUGGUGUACCAGUUAUCGUGCCAACGGUAAACGCUGGGUAGCUAUGUAUGGAGAGGAUAACCGCUGAAAGCAUCUAAGUGGGAAGCCCACCUCAAGAUAAGUAUUCUC
RNAcentral lists this ribosomal RNA (1241 nucleotides) under metagenome. RNAcentral describes it as "bacterial LSU rRNA". It matches the Rfam family "Bacterial large subunit ribosomal RNA", at positions 1564 to 2815 of the family's 2925-position model. The record is from RNAcentral.